AAGUAAGAAGCAAAAAUUGCAAUCAGUUUCGACCUGACCUUUGAUGAGCUAAUCAUCCUUACUUU
Molecule: transfer RNA, 65 nt
Filed under: Pericapritermes parvus
Lineage: Eukaryota; Metazoa; Arthropoda; Insecta; Blattodea; Termitidae
Description: tRNA-Arg
Source: RNAcentral